Molecule: ribosomal RNA, 254 nt
Filed under: uncultured bacterium
Lineage: Bacteria
Description: partial 16S ribosomal RNA
Rfam family: Bacterial small subunit ribosomal RNA
Source: RNAcentral
GAUCCUGGCUCAGGACGAACGCUGGCGGCGUGCCUAAUGCAUGCAAGUCGAGCGACGCAUACUGGCGGGGUAACCCACCGGUAUGACGGAGCGGCGAACGGGUGAGUAACACGUGAGCAACCUGCCCCGAAGACUGGGAUAACCCGAGGGAAACCUGGACUAAUACCGGAUACUCUCGGAUCUCCGCAUGGAGGACCGAGGAAAGGCUUUAGCGCUUCGGGAUGGGCUCGCGGCCUAUCAGCUUGUUGGUGGGG